UGGCGGACGGGUGGGUAAUGCUUGGGAAUCUGGCUUAUGGAGGGGGAUAACGACGGGAAACUGUCGCUAAUACCGCGUAGAAUCGAGAGAUGAAAGUGCGGGACCGCAAGGCCGCAUGCCAUAGGAUGAGCCCAAGUGGGAUUAGGUAGUUGGUGGGGUAAAGGCCUACCAAGCCGACGAUCUCUAGCUGGUCUGAGAGGAUGACCAGCCACACCGGGACUGAGACACGGCCCGG
RNAcentral lists this ribosomal RNA (235 nucleotides) under uncultured bacterium. RNAcentral's name for it is "partial 16S ribosomal RNA". It matches the Rfam family "Bacterial small subunit ribosomal RNA", at positions 96 to 334 of the family's 1533-position model. The record is from RNAcentral.